Molecule: ribosomal RNA, 2931 nt
Filed under: Dioscorea alata (purple yam)
Lineage: Eukaryota; Viridiplantae; Streptophyta; Magnoliopsida; Dioscoreales; Dioscoreaceae
Description: eukaryotic LSU rRNA
Rfam family: Eukaryotic large subunit ribosomal RNA
Source: RNAcentral
CGACACCAAGUUAGGCGGGGCCAACCGUUGAGUUUAUGCAUAUCAAUAAGCAGAGGAAAAGAAAAUUACGAGGAUUCCCCUAGUAAAGGCGAGCGAACCAGGAAGAGCCCAGCUUGAGAAUCGGGUGGUCACGACGCCCGAAUUGUAGUCUGCAGAAGCGUCCUCAGUGACGGACCAGGCCCAAGUCCACUGGAAAAGGGUACCGGAAAGGGUGAGAAUUCAGUCGUGCCCGGACCAUACCGCACCAUGAGGCGCUGUGGGCGAGUCAGGUUGGUUGAUAAUGCAACCCCAAUCGGGCUGUAAAUUCCGUACAAGGCUCAAUACGGGCGAGAGACCGAUAGCGAACAAGUACCGUGAAAGAAAGAUGAAAAGGACUUUGAAAAGAGAGUCAAAGAGUGCUUGAAAUUGAUGGGAGGGAAGUGGAUAGGGGCCGGCGAUGCGGCCCAGCCUGAUGCGAAACGGCGAUGAGCCGGUCCGCCGCUCGGCUCAGGCCACAGACCGAUGCGGGUCGCUCCGGCGGCCGAAGCUCAGGCGGAUGACCCCGCCCGAGGAGACACCGCCAGUGCAACCGUGGACGCAACGCGCGCCAGCCCCUGGGCGUGCCCACCCGUGGUACGGUUGCACUCUAGGCACCGGCCCGCAGGCUCCCCAUCCGACUCAUCUUGAAACACGGACCAAGGAGUCUGACAUGUGUGUGAGCCGACGGGCGCGGGAACCCAGAAGGCGCGAGGAAGCUGAAGGGCGGGAUCCCCCGAGGGGUCCAUGGCUGAUCGACCCCGAUCUUCUAUGAAGGGUUCGAGUUGGAGCACGCUUGUCGGUAGCCGAAAGAUGGUGAACUAUGCCUAAGCGGGGCGAAGCCAGAGGAAACUCUGGUGGAGGCCCAUAAUGAUACUGACGUGCAAAUCGUUCGUCUGACUUGGGUAUAUGGGGCGAAAGACUAAUCGAACCAUCUAGUAGCUGGUUCCCUCUGAAGUUUCCCUCAGGAUAGCUGGAGCCCGUGUGCGAGUUCUAUUGGGUAAAGCCAAUGAUUAGAGGCAUCAGGGGCGCAUCACCCUCAACCUAUUCUCAAACUUUCAAUAGGUAGGACGGCGCGGCUACUCCGAUGAACAGCGCCACAAAAUCGAGAGCUCAAAGUGGGCCAUUUUUGGUAAGCAGAAUUGGCAAUACGGGUUACAGUGCCCGACUGCGCUAAGGAGUGUGUAACAACUGGCCAUUUUUGGUAAGCAGAACUGUCCAUUUUUGGUAACCCAGAACCCACAAAGGGUGUUGGUCAAUUAAGACAACAGGACGGUGGUCAUGGAAAUCGAAAUCCGCUAAGGAGUGUAUAACAACUCACCUACCGAAUCAACUAGCCCCGAAAUGGAUGGCGCUGAAGCGCGCGAACUACACCCGGCCAUCGGGGCGAGCGCCAUGCCAAUGUGAAGCCCGGGGCGUGAGCCCGGGAGGAGCGGCCACCGGUGCGAAUCUUGGUGGUAGUAGCAAAUAUUCAAAUGAGAACUUUGAAGGCCGAAGAGGGGAAACAUUCCAUGUGAACGGCACUUGCACAUGGGUUAGCCGAUCCUAAGAGACGGGGGAGGCCCGUUAGAGAUCGCGUCUGCGCGCGAGCUUCGAAAGGGAAUCGGGUUAAAAUUCCUCAGCCAUGACGUGGCGGCUGACGGGGACGUUAGGGAGUUCGGAGACGCCGGCUGGGGCCCCGGGGAGAGUUAUCUUUUCUGCUUAACGGCCCGCCCACCCUGGAAACGGCUCAGCCGGAGGUAGGGUCCAGCGGCCGAAAGAGCACCGCACGUUAUGCAUUGUCAAGUGCACCCCCGGCGGCCCAUGAAAAUCCGGAGGACCGAGUGCCGCCCAUGCCCAGUCAUACUCAUAAACGCAUCAGGUCUCAAAGGUGAACAGCCUCUGGCCGAUGGAACAAUGUAGGCAAGGGAAGUCGGUAAAACAGAUCCGUAUCUUCGGGAGAAGGAUUGGCUCUAAGGGGUGGGCACGGGGGUCUCGGCCGGGGGACGGACCGGGAAUGGCCCGCACGCCGCUCCCGCGGCACGGGGGCCUUCCCCCGGUGUCUAACAGCCAACUCAGAACUGGUACGGAUAAGGGGAAUCCGACUAUUUAAUUAAAACAAAGCAUUGCGAUUGUCCCAACGGAUGCUCGUGCAAUGUGAUUUCUGCCCAGUGCUCUCAAUGUCAAAGUGAAGAAAUUCAACCAAGCGCGGGUAAACGGCGAGAGUAACUAUGACUCUCUUAAGGCAGCCAAAUGCCUCGUCAUCUAAUUAGUGACGUGCAUGAAUGGAUUAACCAGAUUCCCACUAUCCCUUCUACUAUCUAGUGAAACCACAGCCAAGGGAACGGGCUUGGCCGAAUCAGCGGGGGAAAGAAGGCCCUGUUGAGCUUGACUCUAGUCCGACUUUGUGAAAUGACUUGAGAGGUGUAGGAUAAGUGGAAGCCCUCUGGCGGAAGUGAAAUACCACUACUUUUAACAUUAUUUUACUUAUUCCGUGGACCGAAGGCGGGGCUCUGUCACUCCUUUUGGCUCCAUGACACACCCCUUGCGUGUAUGUACCACAAGUGCACGAGUUGUCAAAGUAAUAAUUACCCUGAUGAGUGGGUAGUCGAAUCCACAGAGAACGGAAGUACUAGUAAUGACUAAUUCUCAGUUAUCUAGUCGAAUCGAUAAUAUGAAGCAAUGGAUGUAAUGUGUAAAAUAAGAAAAUCAUAAGCAAGCAAGUAAAGGAAAAUGGUAAAGGAGAUCUCUAUCAAUGAAGAUUUGAUACCCGGGCAAUGCUCCCCCUAGGCUCUAUCAUGAAGUGCAAGACUAACUAAAUGCUUCCAAACCGAGUUCUAUGAGUUGAGGCAAUCCAAGAAUAAUUGGUCCCUGCCUCCAGGACACCGAUAUUAGUCCCCUACAAGAUCCCGGCGGAGAAAUCGCUCAAUAUCAACA